UACGGAGGGUGCAAACGUUGCUCGGAAUCAUUGGGCGUAAAGCGCACGUAGGCGGCUCGUUAAGUCGGAUGUGAAAUCCCUCGGCUCAACCAAGGAAGUGCAUCCGAAACUGCAGAGCUUGAGUACUUAAGAGGAUCGCGGAAUUCCCGGUGUAGAGGUGAAAUUCGUAGAUAUCGGGAGGAACACCAGUGGCGAAGGCGGCGAUCUGGGAAGAUACUGACGCUGAGGUGCGAAAGCGUGGGGAGCAAACAGG
Molecule: ribosomal RNA, 253 nt
Filed under: uncultured bacterium
Lineage: Bacteria
Description: partial 16S ribosomal RNA
Rfam family: Bacterial small subunit ribosomal RNA
Source: RNAcentral